ACUUAAACACGGGCACGAUACGCAAGAAAAGCCGGAUCACGUAAUAUAACAUGAACGCCGCCCUUUUUCCGUUUGUGUGUUAUUUUGUGAUUGAAAACCACAGCAGACGGACGUAAACGUGGAGUAAAAUCGUCAAAAUAGUGAGAAAAAAAUGGAAAAAUCGCCAUCUUCGUGUGCAUCAGGCCUCCUGCGUCCACAAAAAUAUAAAUUUUCGAUGGAACUGACUUUGGCACAGAGGCAAAAAAGUGCAUUAGGGGCUUACGCGUAGGCCCUUGAUACGGACUGAUGGCUGCUACUCGGUGAUAAGUCACACGAUCCCAUCAUGAAGUCGCUAAAGGUGAAUCCCCAACGCUUGACCAUACUGUUGGUACAAUAUUUAUGUUGGUUUCAUAUUUUCUCAUGGUAAUAAAAAUACAAUGUGAUGCUUAGCAAUUGAUAAAAACUA
Long non-coding RNA from Drosophila miranda, 445 nucleotides. RefSeq lists it as uncharacterized. The transcript has 2 exons. The record is from RefSeq and is a predicted model, not a curated record. Lineage: Eukaryota; Metazoa; Arthropoda; Insecta; Diptera; Drosophilidae.